UACGAAGGGGGCUAGCGUUGCUCGGAAUCACUGGGCGUAAAGCGCACGUAGGCGGCUUUUUAAGUCAGGGGUGAAAUCCUGGAGCUCAACUCCAGAACUGCCUUUGAUACUGAGAAGCUUGAGUCCGGGAGAGGUGAGUGGAACUGCGAGUGUAGAGGUGAAAUUCGUAGAUAUUCGCAAGAACACCAGAGGCGAAGGCGGCUCGCUGGACAGUUACUGACACUCAACUACGAAAGCGUGGGGAGCAAACAGG
This 253-nucleotide ribosomal RNA is filed under the name uncultured bacterium. RNAcentral's name for it is "partial 16S ribosomal RNA". It matches the Rfam family "Bacterial small subunit ribosomal RNA", at positions 524 to 776 of the family's 1533-position model. The record is from RNAcentral.